AACGAACGCUGGCGGCAUGCCUAACACAUGCAAGUCGAACGAGACCUUCGGGUCUAGUGGCGCACGGGUGCGUAACGCGUGGGAACCUGCCCUUAGGUUCGGAAUAACUCCCCGAAAGGGGUGCUAAUACCGGAUAAUGUCUUCGGACCAAAGAUUUAUCGCCUUUGGAUGGGCCCGCGUUGGAUUAGCUAGUUGGUAGGGUAAAAGCCUACCAAGGCGACGAUCCAUAGCUGGUCUGAGAGGAUGAUCAGCCACACUGGGACUGAGACACGGCCCAGACUCCUACGGGAGGCAGCAGUGGGGAAUAUAGGACAGUGGGCGAAAGCCUGAUCCAGCAAUGACGGGUGAGUGAUGAAGGCCUUAGGGUUGUAAAGCUCUUUUACCCGGGAUGAUAAUGACAGUACCGGGAGAAUAAGCUCCGGCUAACUCCGUG
This 433-nucleotide ribosomal RNA is filed under the name uncultured bacterium. RNAcentral's name for it is "partial 16S ribosomal RNA". It matches the Rfam family "Bacterial small subunit ribosomal RNA", at positions 29 to 507 of the family's 1533-position model. The record is from RNAcentral.